GGAUGUGAGGGCGAUCUGGCUGCGACAUCUGUCACCCCAUUGAUCGCCAGGGUUGAUUCGGCUGACCUGGCUGGCUAGGCGGGUGUCCCCUUCCUCCCUCACCGCUCCAUGUGUGUCCCUCCCGAAGCUGCGCGCUCGGUGGAAGAGGACGACCAUCCCAGAUAGAAGGAGUGUACCGUUCUUCGGUCAAGGGUAUACGAUAGCUGCGCUCCCCUGCUAGAACCUCCAAACAAGCUCAAGAAUGGACCUCCGGAACGAAUUAAGUACUUAACCCGAGGUACCACUGUAUUGCAGGGGUUUGGACUAGAUGACCCUCAAGGUCUCU
Podarcis lilfordi (Lilford's wall lizard) is the source of this 325-nucleotide non-coding RNA. NCBI's taxonomy places the organism in Eukaryota, Metazoa, Chordata, Lepidosauria, Squamata, Lacertidae. The record is from the annotation of a GenBank genome assembly.